UUUACUCGUGUCAGCUCCAAGCCAUUUGACACAGAACCACCUUUUACAAACCAUACCACUUUUGGGGAAAUCGUUGGACUAACCAAAUGGAUGAGUUUCUACUUAUGUGGGUUAGGUGUCAAGCAAUCAAGGUUAGAGUAAUUGGAUCUCAAGUGAAAGCUAUCAAUACUUCUAAUGGGAGGAAUUUACCUGAAUGCCCAACUUUAAUCUUUGAAUUUUGUUGGACGUGGGGUUUGAAGGUGCGAUCGAAGGUUCAGUUGACGACUUCUCUGAAGUGUUGAGUGAACGGAUAUGUAAAAUAUGAACAAAUUUGAGAGUGCUUGCUGAUAGUUACAAGAAACAGUGCUCGGCCAUUGAGCUUCUGAAGAUGUUGCUGAAAACAGUAGGGUUUAGUAAUUUUGCACCGUUAUUGGAUGUGGCUAAAGAUGACUCCAAGAAUAAUGUACAACAGAGUCAGCAAAAAGUUCAUGGAAUGCAGCCACAGCUACAACAACAACAGUAGAGUUCCCUUCGGUUGCCUCAACAACAGCUACUUAUUUUGGAUCCUUGAGAACCCUUCACUAUGGUAGAUGUAUUUUGUGCUUCCUCAAAACAGAAUUACCCCUACCUCAAGUUGAAUUGUGAUUUAUUUUUUGUCUGGCCAGUUACCAUUAUUUAUAGCAUCCAUCAAAAAAAUAUUUUCUACAUAUCGUGUGUUAUUUGAAUAUGAAUAUUAUGAGACUGCAGUUCA
Glycine soja is the source of this 730-nucleotide long non-coding RNA. RefSeq lists it as uncharacterized. NCBI's taxonomy places the organism in Eukaryota, Viridiplantae, Streptophyta, Magnoliopsida, Fabales, Fabaceae. The transcript is spliced from 2 exons. The record is from RefSeq and is a predicted model, not a curated record.